Molecule: long non-coding RNA, 1562 nt
Organism: Phyllostomus hastatus (greater spear-nosed bat)
Lineage: Eukaryota; Metazoa; Chordata; Mammalia; Chiroptera; Phyllostomidae
Exons: 3
Source: RefSeq, a predicted model, not a curated record
GAGAGAGAGAGAGAGAGAAACAUCAAUGUGCAGUUGCUGGGGGUCAUGGCCUGCAACCCAGGGUCAGCCACGCCAUAGCCUGGGUCAGGACGUCCUCCCUUUCAAGGCCAAGUGCUAGUCCCGUGCGGGGCCGCAUGCCAUUCAUCUGUUCGUCUGCCUGCCGAUGGGCAUUUGGGUGUCUCCUUCCUUUGGCCACGGGUUCCUUGCACCAAACAAAGUCGGCUUUGAAAGGUGUGCAUGACCUCAUUUCUCCCUCAGGGCGGGUCCUCGGCUGGAUGUCUGGAAAGUUCCGGAAACCAAUGACUACGUAGGAAGGUAACUUUUCUUCAUCCCCACAGCCCGGGAAGUGAGCUGCGGAGAGAGUUGUGGAUGAGCAGAGUGUGCAUGUCUCGGUCUGUGAAGGCUGUGGCCGAUUUUUCCGACUUUUUCUUGUGCGAUAGAUCUAAGACGGAGGUUCGAGAACGAUGGAGAGGGGGCUGGGACGCAGAAAGGCCCCUGGUGGCCCGCCCCGGGCAGUCCCGCCCUGGAGUGGCCCUCCCUCUCUCACGCUGCCCCAGGGGAAAGUGAUGCACCCCACCCUUGCCCCGGAUUAGCUCUGUGGUGCCCACCCCUCUGGCACAGGACUCACCAUGGGGGGUGGGGGGGCCCAGCUGUCUCCCUGUGCGGACGGCCAAGCAGCCCAUGAAGAAGUGUGAGUGGUAAGGAGCCCAGCCCUACCCCCCCCCAGGGCAGUGGUCCCCGGUCAGCCUCAGAGGAGACCCUGGGCCAGAACCGCUCAGCUCACCUCCUCCCGGUUCCUGACUCUCAGAAACUACGUGAGAUCCUGAGAAUUUGUUGUCAAGUGGCUGGCGGAGUGUGGGCGUGUUCGGGUCCACGGCAGCAUCGCCAAGGCGGCACCCGCAGGGAGCCCUUCAUCAUCGAAAGGACCGGGGUCAGGGGAACGGUUGAGUACACUGUGGCAAAUCUGAUCCCAGGUACGUUUUCCAGCCAAUUAAAAUGAGAAACAAAGACGACGACGCAGAAUGCAAACCCCAGUGCGAGUUCACGUUCAGGUACAAAGGCAAAAUGGAGACGCCCGUCGGGACGGUGAUCGUACCCACGGACGGGUCAAGUUCGCGCGUCAACAGAAAGCAGAGAGACGAAAUCUUCACGCUGCUGGUGGGCAGAACCGCAGAGACAAUGUUUGUGUGUGUGAUUGGAGGGAAGGGUACAACAACGCUUGUGGAUUAAGAUUUUUUUGUUUUUGUUUGAACGAAUAUAAAAGAAAGAAAAUUGAUGUAGAUUUGUUUUAGCAGCUGCUGGUGACCUCUGGUAAACUUCUACUGAAUGUUAGUGCAAAAAUCAAAACGGUUGCCCCCAAAAGUAAACUUCCUAAACCCUAAGUUUAUGUGCUGAGUAAACCCACAGUAAGUAAAAGUUUGUGGGUUCACACACCAUGACACAGAGAAAUACAAGUUGUCACGGCCUGGUGUCCUCCAAACCCCCCACUUCAGUGUCGCUAAAAUUCUCCUCUCAAGAAUUAUUUUAGCCCUGGCUGGUGUGGCUCAGUGGAUUGAGCACCA